AUAAGAAGCAAACAGCCAUAUAUCAACAUUUUUUCGUAAAUGAUACCAAGAUAAGAGGUUUACAGGGACAUCCAGCUGCAUCCAGAAGUCUCCAGCCAUUGUCCUGAACCUGUAGUCACCUGGAUUCCAGGAAAGGCAGAGUUCUACAUGAUUGAGAUCACCACAGAGACAAUCCUUUCCUAGGAAUACCAUCCCUCAGCCUUAAAGAUUACAGAACUAUGACGCCAGGACUGAGAUAAUGAUCAGUGGGACCCCAGGUUUCAGUUAAUCCUUGAAAAACUGGCCUCCUGCCUUUGCAAGGCAGUGGGUGUGAA
This 314-nucleotide long non-coding RNA is filed under the name Heterocephalus glaber (naked mole-rat). Its description in RNAcentral is "lncRNA (ENSHGLG00100049896.1)". Lineage: Eukaryota; Metazoa; Chordata; Mammalia; Rodentia; Bathyergidae. The record is from RNAcentral.